Molecule: ribosomal RNA, 425 nt
Filed under: uncultured Rummeliibacillus sp.
Lineage: Bacteria; Bacillati; Bacillota; Bacilli; Caryophanales; Caryophanaceae
Description: bacterial SSU rRNA
Rfam family: Bacterial small subunit ribosomal RNA
Source: RNAcentral
AGGGAAUCUUCCACAAUGGACGAAAGUCUGAUGGAGCAACGCCGCGUGAGUGAUGAAGGUUUUCGGAUCGUAAAACUCUGUUGUAAGGGAAGAACCAGUACGUCAGGUAAUGGACGUACCUUGACGGUACCUUAUUAGAAAGCCACGGCUAACUACGUGCCAGCAGCCGCGGUAAUACGUAGGUGGCAAGCGUUGUCCGGAAUUAUUGGGCGUAAAGCGCGCGCAGGUGGUUUCUUAAGUCUGAUGUGAAAGCCCACGGCUUAACCGUGGACGUCAUUGGAAACUGGGAGACAUGCAUGCAGAAGCACACAGUGGAAUUCCAAGUGUAGCGGUGCACAGCGUAGAGAUUUGACGGAACACCAGUGGCGAAGGCAACUUUCUGGUCUGCAACUGACGCUGAGGCACGAAAACAUGGGGCGAAAAAC